Tympanuchus pallidicinctus (lesser prairie-chicken) is the source of this 23863-nucleotide long non-coding RNA. RefSeq lists it as uncharacterized. The transcript has 3 exons. The record is from RefSeq and is a predicted model, not a curated record. NCBI's taxonomy places the organism in Eukaryota, Metazoa, Chordata, Aves, Galliformes, Phasianidae.
AUUAGCAGCGCCGCAUGUUUAGGGACUGCUAUGGAUGCACUUUGGUCACAGUGAGGAGGCAGGGAUUUGGGGUUUAAGCCCCCAUCUGGGCAGGAGCCGUCUGCUUUCACUGGCUGUGAACCCCGGGACCAGCACUUGAAAGUGUCUCAGACCCGCAGUCCAUUUUUUACUUGUCUUUAAGUGCAUGCGAUGGGAAUUGCUAACCUCGGCUAAGGAAAUUUCAUUUCCCCCAUCCUGCUAAACGGUUCUGGUCGACAUAUGUUUGUUAUCAGAGAGAAGUGCUAUGAACACAGAGCCAUUUUCUUAGCAGCUCUUUGACUCUGCGUUACCAUAGUCCCACACGGCAUUGGUCCUUUCCCUUUGGGAAGUCAUGAAUAAGAGACUAUGAAGCUUGCACGUCAGAUCUUCCUCAAUUAAUCCACCAUUAGCAUGUUUGGGAUCCUCUACUGGAUGGUUAACAGCAGCUUUGGUAACUGUAUGCUGUCCAUACCCAAUUAUGCUCUGCUAAAAAUGAACUCUGCAGAACAACCUUCCUGAGCUGUCAGUGUCUCCCGUUUUCCUAUUUUAACGCUUGUGUGUAGUGGCAGGCGACAGAUGGUGUAGAUCAGAUCGAUUUGAUUGCAUUAGGCGAUUUUUUUCCCUCCUCUCCCCCCCGACUCCUUUUCUGGAAGCCCACAUUCAGCUGAGAGGCGACCGCCGGGGACACGGGAAGCGAGAGCAGCCGCCGAGGUGCGAAAGCAGCGAGCCGCGGCCGUGGAGGCGCCGGGUCCUGCCCGGGUGGAUCCGUGCUAAUCCGGCGCCGGGAGGGAGCAGCUUCUGCCGCCCGGAGCCCGUCCCCAGCGCACGUCAGAUGACUCCCUGGUUUUACACACGGUUGGAGUUCUGCUCGAAACCUGGAUUUAAAGGGAAUCUGUUGCCGUGUGUGACAUCUCUUGCGAGCUCCCAGAGAGAACUGAUGGAGCAUACAGCUAGGGAAUAGGAUGCUGGAGAAGCUCAGGGGGAGACGCCAGGCAAUUACCAGGACGGGGAGGAACGGUGCUCGUUGGAUAUGGAACGAGAUCUCGCAGCCCUUGUGGAUUCUCCUUCUUCAAGAGGGGAAUUAUAGUUAUGGAUUUAUUGUCCCGGUGCAGCACUUCCACCAGCGGCAGCAGCAGCAGCUUUCUGACUCUCUUCGGUGACGGGUAUUCUUGGGUGGAUAAUACGGAUUACGUUGUUAUUGCUUAAGAAUACGCGUAGUCGAGGAGAGUACCGGCGGCGGGCAGGCAGGCAGGCAGCGCGACCGCCCCCAGCCCUCCAGCUGGCUCCUACAGCCUCUAGUUGCCAAGGUAGCACCUUUUCCAUCUUUUCCUUCGCUUCGCAGUGUGUCGCUCUGUCUGUGUCUCUACCCGGGCGGGGGUGGCUCGGCCGGCCCGUCCCCGCGGAGGGGCUGCCCUCUGGAUGCGUGUGUGCGUGGAGCGGGCACGGGGUUAGGGCAAAGUGCGGGGCCGGGGCUACGGGAGGGGCCUGCGGAGCUGAGACCGGUUCUCCCCUGCCCGGGCUCGCUCGGCCUCCAGCCCGCUGCCGUUUGCCCCUCUCCGCCGGGGGGGAGCAGGGAGGAAAUGGGGGACUCGAGCCCGCCGGCCCACCUGCAGCAGGGUCCCACCCCCGAGAUGCGGGUUGCCCGAGGGGCAGCGGCUUCGCCCGCAGCCGGCGGUACCCGGGACUGGAAUGCUCCUCUCCUCUGUCGAGCUCAGAGUACGGCCCCGUGACCACUGCGGCCAGAAAGGCUGGGAGCCGGCAAGCAGCAGGCUGGUGAGGCGGGCGCACCCCGCACCCUGCCCCUGUGCCUCGGCUGCAGAGGGCACCAACUGCCUGGCAAGGAUGCUUUGGGACAACCAGUUGUGGCUGAUCACUUCCAGGGGGUAAGAGAACCCUUGCCCCAUGGUAAUGGCCUUGUAGGGCAGAAUUUGGCUGCUCACUCUUGAGUCCCUGAGGUGCUGGGCUAGAAUGCAUGCCCACAACCAGGACUGAAGCGUUGGUUCCCCACUGGUGUUCAGGCCAUGGCUUCCUUGUCCCCACUGAAGGGCUCAGGGCUCCCCAGAGGUAGAUGCAGGUGAGAGACAUAAGCAAGAGGCUGUUCAUUACCAUUACCAUCCCAACCAUGCCUCAUUUAUUUAAUGUAGGAUGGAUAUUUCCAUCCCUCUUGCCAACCAGAGCAGCAGGGCAUGGGCUCUGGUUAAAAGCCCAGACAGCCUUUUGGAUGCUGUGCUUAGAAAAACACAAGCAUAGCAUUUUUUCCCACUCCUGUACCCUCAAGUCUGCUAAAUAUGGAGUAGGAGUGAUGGCUCCUGCUUUUCCCUUUUCAGAGACCUCUCUGCACACCUUGUGAUCCCAGGUCUCAUUGCCACAUAAUGGCAAGUGGGAGACCAGAUUCCAGGCUUAAAUGAAUUAGAUCAGAAGCCAUUUUAAGGCAGGACUGAGGUCACUGUGAUGAGCUAGCCUUUUUGAAUGGCUUCUUCCCUAGGCUCAGCGUGAAGAGGUUGAGAAUGAUUUUUAAUGUGGGCAAACUAGAUGUAGGGGGAUUGCUCUGUUGUGAGUGUAAGGCGGCAACAUGGAGAAUGUCUUCCUCUGUCUCUUGCUUAGCAAUUGAAAGGCCAUAUAUAUUCUGCUUAAUUAUUUCAAGCAACUGCCAAAGGAUUCUUACUCUGCUGCCUUCAGUAGCGACUGGAGCUCUCGUUGUUACGCAGACAUGGAUCUGUUAUUCUAUAGACACAUCUUUGAUGCUAGCACUCUGAUCCUCGUGUUUCUCUAAUACUACUUGAAAGCAGAUUUUUUCUUGUAGUUUAGUAUGUUCAACAGCCUCAGAAAUAACGUUAAAUUAUGCUUUAAAGACACGAUCAGCUGCUAAAUCAUAGUCAGUUCAGCACCGUAACGCAUCCACAUUCACAAGUGCUGCAGGAACGGCGAUGGAAACACUAUUUUAAACAUCCAGGUUUGUAUUACAAACCUUCCUCUGAUCUGAGCUUUCGGUUGACAUUUUCCCUUGAGUCAUGACAGAGAGAAUUAUCAGGAGUUCUGAUUUCGUCACAUAAAGGCUGUGGUUUUGUUAGCUCUGUGCUCAGUUGAGUAUCUUGCAGUACAGAUUGGACUAUUCCACAUAAACACAAGCUUAACAAAAUGUUUCUUUAUACCUAGUUUUCCUGUCAUUGCUUUCCAUCUAACAUGAUUAGCUGUUUUUGCUGAAUAAUGCCUUAAUGACAGAGCCAAUGCAUUUUUAAUACAUGCACUCUUUGUCAUAGUCAAAAUUAACAUUUUGAUUAUUGUAGAUUUCUUUCCUGUAAAAUCUUUCAGUGGAUUGUCAUGUUAUGGGUUUAAAAGAGGAUAGCUGUAAGGUCUGAUUGGAGAACUACUGGAUAUGCUCGUGAUAAUAAUUGUAAAAUACUGUUUAAACGCUCAACAGCAUGCAGGCUCUUAGAGUGAUGUUUCCCAGUGUCACGAUCUCACAAUUGCUCUCCACAGUUUUGUUAGCAAUCCUGGGUUCGCUACGUAGGGCUACCAAGGGCAGGAGCACUGGGUUCUGAAUGCCAUACCCCUGAAAGGAGGCUGCUUGUACUGUGGACCUGAGCCCAUGGAUGCUCGGAGCUCCUGGUGGCUGCUCAGCCGGAGCACAGGUUGCUCAUGUUAAAUCCAAAAUAUCUGAGGCCAGAUCCCUACCAUUCAAUGCCACAGCAAAGCCCCAGUCGAUUUCACUGUGGGAAAGGUUAGACUCCUGGUGAAAGGGAUGUUUACAACCCUACACUCCUUAUUUUUUUUAUUUUAGAAAUCCAGAAUCCCGUGUGCUAAAAAAUGAGUUUAAAGGCCCCCUGCCUCUAAUAGUCUAAUGAUAUUUUAUUAACAGCAAAAUAUAUACUGGAGGUCUGUAGAGCAACAUAAUAAGAAAUAGCUCUAUAAAUAAGGGUGUUUAAUUGUACCAGUACGCGAGUUUUCUGAGAUGACAUUUUAGAAUGAGGUUUGUGGUUGCACUGUGUGCUAACAGCUAUUUUGGUGAGUGCAUAUUUAAUUAAUUUAGAAUACUAAAUACCUGUUCUAAAAUUGUUUUUGUAAUCUGCAUCCUGGUAGAAAAUUAAAUAAAGUGCCAGCCCCAAAAUUAAUACUUGAGCUUAGCCUAUUUGUAAAGGCCGCGGUCCUCCAAAGCUGAACAUCUCUGGGUCUCUCUGUGUGCUGUAGUGGCCCUUCAGGCUGCUCACAUUUGUAAGUCUCGGCUGUGCCAGGCCCUGGAGCAGCAGCAAAGUGGGAAGCGGGGCAGCAGCCCUGCAGCCCCUGUGCUAUGCUGACUUUGGAUGGCUUUGCCCGCUCUGGGGCGGUCCCCAUGGCCAACUCCCCCAGCAGAGAGAGGCAAAGGGCCUUGGGUGCAGGUGUCUGUGCGGGUGAGAGGUGAUCUCACUGGGUCUGUGUGUAGCAGGAGGCGCUGCUCCUUGUAGCCAGACCCCAAAUUGCGUGUUGAGGGCUUCCAUUUGAUUUCACAUGCUCUUCCCACAAAUACUUAAGCCUUACAGCCCUUAUAUAUCUCUCUUUCUGGGAGGACCGUACGUACAUAUGCAUGUACCUCUGAAGGUAGGCAGCACAUAGCACCCAGAGCUCCCCUCUUACAGACUCUGAGAGGCAAACCCCCCACCUGCCUCAGCAGGGGCUGCAAAGGUUCCACGUGCCUUUUGGCUGGUGCAGGGAUUCCUCCUGCUGCAUGCAAAGUGCCCUAAAAGAAUUAUAUGCACUACUGCAUGCCGAUGCAUGUGCUUCUGCAGGUGCUUUUCGCUGGGAUGGGGUCUGCUCUUCCCAGUUUCAGGACCAUGCCUGACUUCAAAGAGUGUGUAAGAUUUCCUCCCACGGCAGGUCUUUGCCUUUUGUGUCAGGUUAGAUGGUUCCUAGUGACAGUGGAGUUUUCUUGGAGAAAUGGAUAAAAAAUAAUUCCUGUGUAUACACACAGAUAUACACACAUUUUGCAGGUAUAAGAAGUUCUCUGUCCUUUCUUGCUCUCCUUACUUCUUUUUUUUUUUUGAUAUCACACUAGAAGUAACCUGUACAACUGGAGGUUUAUGCAUUUUUUAAUAAAUAGUCACAUACACGGAAGGCUUUUUCUUUUCUUCUCUUCUUUUAAAAAACUAACUUUUUUUUAGGGGGGGGAAGGGGAAAUGGAAGAGCAUUUUAUGGCACCUCACCAUUUUUCGGUGUAAAGGUAACAUAUAUCAUAUAAAAUAUUUAAACAUAAUUUUUACCAAAUUAGUUUCUGUCUCCCCAAACCUUUAAUUAUGGAAACAUUUCUGAGACAUCCCUUGAUGCUUGUGCACUAUCUAUUGCUAUCAUUUCAUAACCAAAUUGCACAAAAAAAUCAAAGGACCUGAUUAUCAUGUACCUGCAGUUCACAGAGCUAUUUAUAAAUGUUGGCACAAUAAUAACAGUGACUCAAAAGGAAUUUAAAUGACUGGCCAAAAAUAAGACCUCUGAAAGUUAAAACCCAAGGUAGAGCUCAAGAGGUAAUGGAAAGAGCCUGACAUGGAAGGGCAGAGAUGUUCCAAGGGAAGGCAAGGGCCCGGAGGUGAUGGCUGGGAGUGCUGCAGAGCCACCCACUGCAAUGGGUGUGGGGUGGUGGUGUGGUGUAGGGUGGGUAGAUGUGCUCCAGCAAUGGGAACCAUGGCCACAGAGUUAUACAAGUGUUGUAGUAUGGUAAAACCAAAUCUAGUUAAAACAGCCGGAGGAAUAUUAGAUUAAAUGUCCCAGAACCUGGAGGGGUUGGCUAGUGUUGGGAAAAAUAAGAGCCCUGACUAUUAAGCUAGAAUAAGCAAUGUGUCUGUGUGUGUCCGUAUAUACACAUGUACUUAUAUACAAAUACCUAGCCAAAGUUACAUAAUCUUGCUUGUACAGAAAAAUGAAAUAAGCAUGCCGCUACUGAAAUAUUUCUCCAGAAUCUCUCUCCAGACAUCUGCAGGAAUUUUGCCAUUGAUUUGUAUGGGGGUGGACUGCUACUGGUCUGCAAGAAAGCCACCAGGCAGCUUGGUGUGUGCACUAAAACCGAGGGGCCGUGCAGGGGGACUGUUUAGUGUAGCUGUGCAGGAACAGCCGCUGUCAGGGAACCUGAAGCUGCUGUAGCACCGGAGACAAUAGAAACUAACAGCACAGUUAGCAGCCAGGAACACCCUUGGUUGGGCGUCGGAAAAUGAGCUUGGUCAAGGCAUUGCAGGUGGAGAGCUAGGGUUGGAGACUUUUUGGCUUCUGCGUUGUUGUUCUGUGGGUUUGCUGUGGGUCUGAUCGUUCUCCAGAACUUGCUACUGUUAGGAAGAAAGUUGUAGGCCCAGAAGGCAAACGUAAACUUCCCAGGUUGGUCUCAUGGAGUAUUUCAGAGACUGGUCGGAUUUGACCUUUUAUCUGCUUUCUCAUUAGUUGUCAUUACAGUACAGCUCUGUAUUAGUUCAUCUGAAUUUUAUAUAAUGUACACUUGUUUUACUUUAUUAUAUGUUAGGCAUGAAAUGUUGGAACAAUACAGCUGAAUUAUCUUCAAUAUUAAAAACUGCUGAUUCAUAACCUUGUUUGGAAUAUUAGCUGAUCUUUUGCGAAGACAGGACAAUAUCACUAAGUUUAAUAAUGUUCACAGGGCUGAUCUGUCUUUUACAUCACUCAAAAUCAAUGAUAAAGUGAAUGCUGUGGGACUGAUCUUCUCUAAUUGGAGAUCGAGGGACAUUCUGAACUAGAACUAUGCAGCACCUUAUUGUGCAGCCUGUUACCAAAAAAUAAAUCUCACUGCAUCUUACAGAGGUGUUUACAUAAAUAAAGUAGAUUUCAUGUAACUUCUUUCAGAUUAUCUGAUAGUUAUAUCUUUAUAAGUAUUCACAUUCUCCUAACAAGUUGAUAGAAAAUUCAAAGAUGCACCACAGUUGCAAUUGCAUUCCAUAGGAUUUAUUUUAUUUUUUGAAUUAGGUGGGAAAUAGUAAGAGCAGGAAGGCUCGGUGCACUGUUAUAUCAGUCCACCUGGGAUCUAAACUUUCAACAAUUACUCUCUAAGAGAGUAUUUAUUUCUUUAUUCCAAUAGUUAUUUUUCUGAAUAUCCUGAGCUGUAGAGAAGAGCAGAGGAAACUUUCUCAACCCUCAGUUUAGGAAGCAAUGAUUUUUCCAUUUUUACGAAAGAGUUGUGCUUUCCUGCAUGUUUCCCAUGGAUCUGAAUUACAUACAGGAUGGUAAAAUGAUUACUUUUGAGGUUCCAGUGUACUCUUUUUCUUUUUGACUGUGUAUAUCACACGGCCCUUUGUUGUGCUAUGACAUUAUGAUGCUGUUAUACAUGUGGUGACAAAAAUGCAGCCGUUUUCAGCCAUUCACGGAGUCUCCAGUGAAACAGGACCUGUGAGUCCUGCUCUCAGAAGCCACAGACAAAACCACUUUCCCUUUCCUGUCUGUAUUCAGAUGCUUGUCUUUUGUGUGUAUGUAAAUAUAUUCUUUCUAGUGCGGGAGGUAGGGCUUGUGCAGACCCUUCAUUAGAGCUGAAAAUAGUGAUGUUUAAUUUUCAUUUGUGGGAGCUGCAGUGAGUCAGUGCUGUUUGCUCAGCUCCAGUUCCUUGUUACAAAGGGAGGAAAACUCCAGCAAUGGGAAGGAGCCCGAAUGGGUUGAUGCAAAAUCUGAGUAAUGAGAGACAAACAAAGCCCUGCACAAAAUACCUAGCAGGAGUUUUUACGUUUUGACUCUUAGCAAACGCUGCUAUAUUUGGAGUAUUUCACGUUCACUGAAUGUAAAACUUAAAUAUGUGCCCUGUAGAGUGACUGGGAAUAAUAGCUCUGCUUUCUCUAAUAAAAUCUCUUUUCUGCGAUUAGCUCUGGAGCUAGCAGUAAGGUCGGUAUUUCAUUUCAUAGAAGUCAGCUCAUGCUGACAAGGGUUUGGCCUUCUUAGUGAUGGGCCGUUUGCUGCUCAGAAGUGUGAGGAACAGCUUUCCGAAAUAUCGAUAACUUGCCUUUGCUAGAGCUCGCCAUCAAAUUGAACUCACAGUAUUGAUGCGCUGCAGCCACAGGAUGGGAGAAGGCUUGGGCCUGGCGCCAUCCUCCGAGCUUUGCUUUUCCAGCUCUGCCAUUAGUGUAAAUCAGUGGCUUAUAAUGAAGUCAAAUGAGAUUUGUGCCCAAAUUACAACCUGGUCUUGGGAUAUGAAAAAGAAUUAAAAAAUUAGGCUGAAAAUGUUAAUGUUCUGCUUUAGCUUUGUUUCAGUUUGUUGUAUGUAAAUGUGCUUAUAUGCACAUGCACACACGUACGGAGCUGCAUUUUAUUCCUGUGGACAUUUCCCUUGGCCACUUGGCUGCAGUGGUGCCUGGCAGUUAACGAGGACCUAAGAGUGCAAAAUCUCCUUCCUGGUGAGCUUUGAUUGACAUGUGCAGAGAUUUCAGAUAAAGGCUCUGGGAUCCUGCUUCUCAGCCAUAAAAGGAAAGCAAGCAAGCUUCAUCCCCAGCUCAACCGUCUGCACAAUGUACAUCAAUAACGAGACGGCAUCUAUUUAUAUAUUACUUGGAGGAAAUAACUGGGUUUGCACAUGGCCUGGGGAGGCACCGCAGCUCCACCAGCUUCCACGGGGCUUUUGUUGGCAGCCAGGUUGAUGGCUCGGGUAUGUGGGACAGGAGACAUGGCUGAGGCUUGCUGUGCUGUGAGAAGGGGCAUGGGGAGCAUGGACAGGGUCCAGCAAUGCCCCUCUGCUGACUGCUGGCCCAGCCUCUCCCACAGAGGGGAAGGCCUGCCAUGUUGUAGGAGGAAAGGGAGAGUUCAAGAGAAAAAGUGAUAAGGUGCAGCCAGCUUAAAACCUGCUGUUGUCUUUUGGCUGUGUUGUUGUGGAAGGUUUUCGACGGUCAUGCUUUUCUCACCCAGAAAAGUGGAUCAUUGACUAAGACCCAUCCCACAUCAGGCUACCAUGGCACAGGGCAGAGGUACAGGGCUGAGCUGAGAUACUAACACAGACUCUUGGGGCAGGGGGCCACUGUCCCCAAGCUUAGCAGUGGUAAAGACACGCAAAAGCCCCCAAUGGAUCUCAACCUAAAAAGAGAUUUUGCUGUGUCCUUUCUCACUCCUCUCCUCACUGGCUCUUGUGUGCUUUGCCCAUAUGCUCUGAAGCUAUUUUGCUUUCAGUUUUAUGUCUGCUUUAUGUAAAUGAGAAGCAUGAAGCUUCUCUGCUUUCUGCAUUAUAAAUGGGGUGGAGGCUGACUGACUCCCUCCGGAGGCCUGCAGGUUGCACAGGGUGCAGGCACUUGGGCCAGGGGCUGCCUGAGGGCAUGGCAGUGGUGUGUGGAAGGGGCAACCCCAACCCCAUGGACCCCACACACACAGCUUGCAGGCCAAAGCAUCCCUAUGCUGCAGGAGUCCAUCAGCCCCUCUGGGACCAUUCUAAGAGGCAUAUGUUUGCUCAGUGUAUUCACUUCACCCUGUACAAGCUGGCUGCUCUCAGGUGCUGGUUUCCAAAUCCCUCCUGCAGGACCAGGGUAAAUCCAGGCUGUCUCUCUGGAAGCACUGAUAUGUUUUGUUUCAUUUGUUCCUUUUGUAAGUCAAAACUGGUGUUGGUUUUUAGUACUUUACUUUUUGGCUUACUGCCUUCUUUGUCUGUGCUUUCCCAGUCCCACACAGAUUUUCACACCACCAAAUUUUGUCCUGGAGUUUUUGUUUCCCAGUGGCUGAGUGCUGUCCCACACUCAGGACAAUGACGCAGGGCUCUGGCUGUGGCCACAGCCUGAGAAAUGCCAGAGGCACAGCAAGUUGCUUGGGAGAGGCUUAGGGUGAGAGGGUGAAGAAUACUCUAUAAGACAGAAAAAGAGCCUGACCACGGCCUGCUGUGGAAGGUUUGGGUCAGAGACAAAGUGGUGGUGGGCUCUGAGGUAUCACCCUUCCACCCAUGCUGCCCUGAGGCCCUUGUGGGGUGCGUGGCUCUCAGCUGAUUCUGGCAGAUCUGCGCUUUGUUAGAAUGAAUCCUAAUUGAGUUGGUGGUACUUCAGUAGAGAAAUGGCUUCAGGAGUCCCAGCCUAGGACCUGCAGGGCAUAGAUGGCAUCGUCCCUGCUGGGGCUCUGCCCUGCACUUGUUUGAGCUCAGGCUCUCUUUCACUGAGUUCAUAGAAUAUGUGACUUUUUUUUUCCAAAGGCAUUCAUUAACAGAGAUAAAUUACCUAAGGUUUGAAUACUCUGAUUCAGCGAUACACUGUGAGGAUUAGGUUUAUUUUGUCUGGUCAAAUGUUUGCUGAAAAGUGAUAAAAAAUGUCUCCGCCUUUCUAGAGCUGCUUAUUUGAUUUCAAAAGGAAGGUAUGACCUUUCAUUUCCUGCUGUGAUUUUCAUUAAACCUCUGCGUAUUUUAUUUGUCAGACCACAUAUAAAUUUGCUACCACUAGUGUUUCUAUAUAAAGUACUUAUAGGAUUGGUAAGCAGUCUAUAAGUCAAACCACAGUUUCUUGAAAUUCAUUUUAAUCCAUAAAAUUGCUAAUUAAAGCUACUUCUCAGUACCCAAAAAUUAAGUUAACAGUAAUUAAUGUAGCCAGCCUGGAACCUUAGGAAGCUCCUGCCAGCAAGUGUCUUUUGGUGCACACAAGAGAAUGCAGUUUGAUUGUUGGCACCAACAAACAGGUUGGGAAUUGUAAACACGGUAAUUAGCAGUAAGUUUCUGGAUCUCAACUUUCCAGACUGGCGGUCUGAUUCUUGGAGUAGCUGCCGCAUGGGAGGAGGGAAAAACAAAGUAAGGGAAUUAGAGCAACCUUGCAUUGCUCCACCAACAUAUGCCACUGGACCAGUGUUUUUCUUGGCAAAGAUUUCUGACAAGCAGUUUAAAAGCUGUGUUUCAGCCUUACUGCAAACUGUGAACCUCACUACAGGCAUCAACCAAGCAACUGUCCCUGGCUCUUCUGAAACUCCAAAUGUUUCUCCAUGGAAAGAGACUGUCGAGUCUAAGGUUUCCCUGUUCCAUCUCCAUGGUGGGGUGCAUUGUUGAUAAGGUUAUCAACAAUAAUGAGAUUAAAAGUUAAAAUCCAGCUUUUGCACUAAUCCCAGAAUAUUCUAUUGUUGAGCUAUCAAAGAUUAAGGUUAGAGUAACCUUAUUAACCCUUGAUGUAGUGUAAGUUAAAAGGAAAUGUCAGACCUAAUUCCACCAUGAAAUUAAAUCUUCGCUUCCCUCUCAUCAUUUGAUGAUUCAAACACAGCUUAGUCCGGACAACAUGUGCUAUGAAAAUAAUAAACUCACAUGAGUUUAAGAAAUUCCGUCUGAGAGACAGAGGGAGAAAGGGACAAUAAUACAUGGGCUUAAUUUUGUUCAAAAUUAAAAAAAUAAUGUUAAUUCAACCAGCCUGUGUUCAGGAGCUAUUCAGCUAGAGCCAGCAAAACAUGGAGGGUGUAGGGAUCCAGCUGAUGCAAACCCCUGUGGUGCAACGAACACAGCUCUGUAAUCCACAGCAACUCACAUCUGGCCCAGGGCAGAGCAAUUUGUUCUGCAUUGGGCAGCAGCUGUGAUGGCCUCCUUGUCUCCUUCUCUUGCUUGCUGAGUUCUGUGUUAUUUCUGCCCAGUGCCAUGGUUGGGUACGGCAACACAAGAACUCGAACAUUUCUGCAGAGGUGCUUUGAGUACAAGGGAUGAGGUGAUGAAAACAAAAAUGUGUCAGAAAAAAAAAAACCGAAUGCUCAUCUUUCUGGCAAAGUAGAGCCAGGUGCUGGUGUAACAGGCACAGGUUUUCUUGGCUAAGCUGAUUUGCACUGCAUUAAGGAAGUGCCCUCUCACCUGUGCUGAACACGACCCCUGCUCCCUCCUGCCGAGCCCAUAAGUAGAUCUGAGAGGCUGCUCUGGGGCUGGUGUUAUUUGUGUAGGGGGGAACAUGUUGACUGGUUGAUCACGAUCUGCUUAGGUGUUGGUGGGAAGUAGACCAGGUAAAUGUGUGUUUCCUUGUGGGGAGCAGAGAAGGGAAGUAUGCCCUAAUUAAUUAAUUAAUUUUUUUUUUUGAUUGGCAGAGAAAAUACAAUGGUGAUAAAAAUGGGAUGACUCAGAACUCUUCUCUUUUUUCACCCUUACCUUGUUGAAGUGUUAUAAAAUUUAAAUAACUCUAAUGCUCACUUUGAGUCUCUAGCAGAAGGAUAAUUAAGAAUUAAGGUGCUGCCUAUAGUAGGUGAGCUCUCUAGAGGGCAGGAGCCAUUGUGAGAGAAGAGAUACCUUUGGCAAAUUCAUGCCUGCUCUGUGGCGUUUUCACUUCUGGGACAGUGCCAGCCCUGCACAGUGCUGAGGCUGAGGGGUGGGCAGCAUCUGCUUUCAAGUCCUCAGCAACCCUGGUGGUUCUGGGUUGUGGAGCUCUGGCUUGGCUUAUUCCCUUUAUCACUGAAUCAUGUUCUUUAUGUGGGCUGUCAUGGCUCUGGUUCACAUUGGCUCAGGUGUGCUUGUGGGGUCCUGAGGUACCUCCUUCUCUGCUGUUGCCCCAGGUCUCACGUGCAAGUUGAGUGGCUGGGGCUCUUCUGGUUUUUCUGCAGCUCUGCUGUGGUGUGGGAAUUGACGCUGUACCUGUAGGGCUGUUCAGAAACAUUACUGUUGCUGGUAUAAUGCUUUCUUCUAGGUAGCAUCCCUUUUUCUGGACAAUUUCCCAGUAAAAUAGUAAAUGGCAACUGCAGAGCAGUAAAAGCAGUGGCAUACUUGUUUGACUGAUGUUACAAAGCCUGCAGAGCAAAUGCAAUUAGGCUUCUCAGUGUGCAGCAGCUUCCUUUCCUCAUGUCCCCACUGUGGAGGAGCCGCCCUAGGUUCAGCUUGGCCUUAAGCUGCAGAUUCCUAUGGAGGGGCUAUGUGUUUUUGAGCCCUCCUGUGCGCCUCAGUGUCUUCUCAGGUCUCAGAGCUGCCCUUCUCAAUGGGACAAGGUCCUUGCCAGUGUCUGUGCACCCGUGACACCCAACUGUCACCAGGACACAAAGUUGUUUCUUUGGUAUGGACAGCUGAUGCACUGUGAACCCUUUUGUGGACGCUUUGCUUCAGAAAGUGGUGGGGAAAAAUAGAUGUAACAGCUCAGAUUCCUCGGGAAGAGGUAAUAGAGAACAAAAAGCUACCAAAUGCUGAGGGUUGCUGUUAGCUGCAGUGGAGCACUGAGGGUCAUUCACUUGUUGAGGCUGACUGCUAGGGAACAGAUGGGGACUCAUGCUCCUGCCCUCCUUCAGCUGCAUCAUUGGGUUUACAGAGCUAUUUUGUAUCUUGUAGACCUGCUGUGUGGAUCUAGGACUGCUGAAUGAUGCUGUGAUUGCUGGAAAUGGUGUAGUCUGGGAAGACUGGAAAAGUUUCUUCCAGCCCAGAUUGUUCUAUGAGCCUCAGAUAGAGGUAGUUGUUAUGCAGUAUCCCUGAGCUGUGUGGAAGUGACGAGAUGUGGCCCUGGCUGGAAGCAAUGAUCCUACAGCCCUCUCAGGCCUGGUCUGAAUUCUGAGUCAUUUUGUGCACAGGCAGCUGUUGUGCUGCAGGGCCCAUUCCCUGGUGCUGUGGGUGGGAAGCAGCAGAGCUAGGAGCAGGCACUGCAGUGCCAGUAUUCCUGCAGCCAGCACAGGUGUAGGGCUGCCACGCUCUGGUCUGUGGUGUGUGGGGAGUGCUGGCUGGUAUGGCUCCACAGUCUGCAAAAUAGACCUAAGUAUGGAUGACUAUGCCUGGCUAAUCUGGGAUACGGUGAGCAUGACCUGACUCUCCUUUAUAUACACAUCCUUUGAUAUUUCUGCAUGUCUCUACAGAGAAAAACAAAUCAUGUACUGAUUUUUUUUUUUUUUUUUUUUUUUUUUUUUAUUAUUAUUUUACCUACUAUUAUUUCCUAAGGACAGCUUUGGGGUAAAGUGGUAAGAAAGCUGUUUCCCUCUUUGGACAAUAACAAGCCAGAAGGCUGUCAGUGUGGCAACCUGUCCCUAUGUAACAAGGCAGAGCCUCGCUCUGUGGGCAAACAUCCCACACGCGUUGUUGGGAGCUCUGCCUGGCUGUCCUCGUGGAGGUGGGCUGCUGCUGCACAGGACACAUGAGCAGCGGUUUCUGUUUUUAAUGUGCCAGAUCAUAGCUUGCUCAUCGCUCCAGCUCCUGGGCUGAAAAACACUGUCAAAAUGCAAAUGCAGGAGCUGACUAAGAACCAGUGAGUACGCAAUCUGGAUGCUCCAAACUUGAGCGCUGUGAUUGAUAAAGGAUAUAAAAUGUGACUUUUUAUUCAAGCUGAGGCACUCUGUUGGUGUUAUGCAAUUCCAACAAGUUUGUGUUAAGAAUAACCACUGUGUUUUGCAGAAAGUGUGCGCCCAUGCGUGAGGCUGCGCCAUACACACAGCAUGGUGGCUCAGCUGUGUGGGGCUGUGAAGGCCGAGCUCCCUGACAGCAUGUGUCCAAUGGGCCAGUGCAGCAGCCAGGGGCAUCCUCUAGCCAUGCUGGUUGGGGUUCAAACUGUGAUUUCACAAUCCCAGUAUUUCCCUAUAUUUUCUUUUAAUUGUAAAAAGCAAAGAGGUGAAAAAAACCAACAAAUAAUUUUCAGUGGAAAAUGUUUAUAUUCAUAACUUAAAGUGUUCUUCCAGAAAUUUAAUAUUGCUUUUAAUGUCUGAGUGUGUGAAGUCACUGGGAAACAUGAAAAAGCAGGCUCUUAGAGAAUUUGCAGGUUGAUCCCCUCUCUCACAGACCUGCCAAUGUUUCUAUUGAUGGAUUCCCUAAUAGUGCUGGAUAAUCUACUCCAAAGCUCUGGAAAUCUGAUUAUUAUUCCUAGAGGGCAGAUCCAUAGAAAGGUAUGAGCCUAUAUUCACUAAACCAAAGUUGUUUGUCAUACGAAGUAAAUCCCUACAGUUCCCUUCUCAUACUCCCUCACUGAGAAGCUGGAGGUACCAGAUUGGCAAGUGGGUGGAGAAAGGUGGAGGGAGAUAGUCUGAUGAGCCAAGAAAUUAAUGUUUCCCUCUGUCCCAGUCCCCCAGUGUAACCCAAGCACCAUUCUGUGCCCGCAGGCGGGAUGCAAGCCUCCAACACCUGAGUAUUCCUGCCGAAUGACAUGGCACAAGAUCAGGAAAAAAACCUGUUUACUACAACAUGGUCUAGUUUUCAGAGUAAAACAGAUUGCUGUACAUUGGGUGUGAAAUUCCCUAAUGUUUAAGUAAUGAUUCUGGGAACUGUAUGACUGACAGCCUGAGCAAAGCACUGUCUGAGGUUAUGUAAGUCUCUAAAAAGAAAUCUAACCCCAAAUCCAAAUUGUGUAGCAGAUCUGAGUACUGCAAAGUCUAAGCAUUGCCAGAUUUGAAAGCCGUGCUGCUGCCUUAUAUAAAUAGUCAUGAAUACUCCCAGAAGCAGCAUCCCAAUGAGCUCUUUUGCUCUCUGAGUGGAUCAGCAUGAUGCAGUGGAGCUGCCCCUGUGGGCUGGUGAUAGCCUGACCCAUUGGGUGUAACUGGAGCUGUGGCUCUCAGGGACAUCUCAGGCAGGGAAAUGGAGCUGCUUCCAGCUCGGGUGCUCAUGAAGAGGGAAAAGAGAUGCCUUCUCCCUGCGCUUCCUUGUGCAGAAGCAAUUACAGCACAUGUUUAUGAAUUCCAUCCGGAGGCUGCAGCCCUUGCUAUGAAUCUCAAAAUGUUUUAGAUUUAUUAGCGUCGCGCUGCUUCUGACACAAAGGAUGUGAGGGACAAAGAGCAGCAGCUCCUGUGCUUAAAGGAAGCACAUAAAACCCUGCCAGCACCUUCAUCAUUCUAUGCGUCUGAAUGCUGUUAGCUGGGCGCCAUUGUACCUGCAAAUGCACUGCUGGCGUUAACUCUGAGAUGUGCAGUACUGCCUGGGCAAAGGCGUGGUGGUGGGGGGUGGUUAGAGUGCAGCUUGGGCUCCUGUGGCAGCUCCUGUUGGCUCUUAUUGCCUUGUCCCAGGUGUGACUUAAGGCAGAAAAUUGAACUGAUGGCAUUUAGAUUCUUAGGAAGACGUUCUCCAGUAAAUAUUCUGUAUAUAUACCUAUAUAUUCAGUGUUUGAAUAAAUAUGUAAAGAGAAGGGACGGAGUACGGUCUGUGUGAUAGAGCUAACCAAAUAAUUCUUGGGAUUAAUUUUGCAGAAUUGUGCAAGAAACAUUUCUUAUGUCCCAUAGUCUUCUCAAACUGGCUGAAAUGCACAGGGGUUGUACCUCUGAAUUUUGAUCUGAAGUAAAUUAAAAAUUGCCUUUUUCUGUGGGGGAGAAGGGAGGAGCAGGUCUGUGAAAUUUUUCAAGCACUACUUGCCAUAUCACUGUUACUGUGGCCUGUCCUGGGCUAGGUGAGGAAGUGGUGCAAAUUCCCAGCACUGCCCACCUUGCCUCUAGAGGAAGGAGCAGAAGAGAAGAAUAGGAUGGGUGAGCAGGAGAAAGCGGUAGGGAAGAAAGUGAUUAGAAAUAGCAGAGGAAUGGAAGAGAUAGGAGAAAGCAGAAAAGAAAGAAAUAGAGAUAAGGAAAUGAAAAUGAGAGAGGGGGAAAAAAGAAAAAUGAAAUAAUGGAUAAACAGGACAGAGCUCAAUAGUUCUCAGUUUUCCCACUCCUCAGGUGGGAGCACAGUGUGAUUCGGAGCCCUUGGUGCUAUUGCAGGAGAUUUUCUCCUUUUAGCUCAGGGUGUGUGAGGAGCAGACACCAGGUCCUGGUUGAAUCUCUGCAGAUCUAUCACAAAACCAUCACAAAAGAUGAAGUAAUGUCCUGUCUGGCCACACGCUGAGCUGUAGGUCUUUUUGUUGGUGCUUUUUUUUUUUUUUUUCCCUCCAUUUAAAAAAGAGGAGCUAUCUGAUGUGUUUUGUUACUGUCAGAAAGAAAAAAGUUACUGUAAUUUAGAGGAGCUGAGGGUUUAAAAUUAAAUAUACGCUCAGUGCAUCCAAAGAUUUGGUGAUAACCAGGUUACUGAAAUCAGUGCAUUUUUAUCAAAGACAAAAGGUUUUGGUGUUUUUUUUUUUUUUUUUUUUUUGAGAUGUUUGUAGAAUAUAUCAGUUCUUAUUGUGCCCUCUUAUAAUUACAGAUGGGAAUGAUGAAAACAAGUUCCCAUGCAAUUACUUGCUCUUGCUUUAAAAAAAGUCAAAGACUAAAUCAAUUUCAGUAAGGAGUAAACUGAUAGUAACCUUGUGAAAGAGCAGUCCAAAGAGUUCCACCCUACCGCUGUAAAUGAAAGCAAACCUCAGCCAUGAAUAAGUGUCCAUACAAAGAUUUAAGAUGAGAUGAUGUGAAAAUGUUUCACUCAGCAUUUCGGCCUGUUGGGAGUGAGCUCUGGAUCUGGGCUGGAUGACAGUUAAUAGCACAUCUUCUGUGUGCCUUGGGCUUGUCUUUCGGAGAUGCUGUCCUUGGAUCAUCUGAAACAUCAGCUGCUCUCACAGAGGAGAGCUCUGAUAAAUGCUCUGAUCCCAUUUCCGCAUCACUUUCCAACUCAUCAAAGCGAUUUAAAAAUCAAUAUGUUAUAUUUAACAGGGAGGCCGUGCAUUUCUCACUGGGCAGGAAUAACGCGUCAAGUCUGCUAAGAGAGAGUUAAUGUUCCAGGUGCAGCCUUUGGUUGCACAGACCACAGAAUGUAAAGAAUAUUCCAGGAAAGCCGUAAAGACGGAUGAUACAGUGAUGGCUUCUGCAAUGUUAACAAUACAGCUGUGCUUAUGAGCUACUGCGUGUGCUGGUGCACACUGUCUGGACCUGAGCAUUACUGUGUGGGUGACAGGAGAUCUACAGGCAUCAGAAGGGCCCGUGCUGAGCCCAACCAGCUCUUGCCAUUCUAACACGUAGUGAGACCAGGACACAGCCUGGUGUAGCAGUAACAACCUAAUGUAGUUAAUGUCUGUGAAGGUGCCCAGAUCAGGGAAGGUAGGGCUGCUGACAAUGCUGCCAGACACCACAGUGGUCUGUAUGGUGUAGGGCUGCUGCUCUGUACAGGGCUGCAGGACAAAGCCUCUGAAUGAGCUUGAGUCAUUCCUUCAUCAGUUAGAGUGGCACCACUGCACUUUCUUCCUACCAAGCUGCAGGAAGACAAAGAGCAUCUUUAGCCACAAUAGGUUAACACAGAUUGCUUUAAAGUCUGGCAUGGUAGGAAGCUUAGGGAGCCUGGGUGAGGGGUGAAGGAGUUGGGCAGAAAGAGGUGGAAAUGAAGAGGAGGAAAAGCCCCAUCAGCUGCAGGUGGAAGAGGAAUGAUUCCUCUGUUUUUAUCUGUUGGCUGAAGCAUCACAUUUGCAAAUAGAAGACACAAAUGUUCACAAUGCACUUAGGAGAUCAUUCUUCCUAGAUUUCUUUACUUGUUUAUAGAACCACCUGCCCCAGGCAUGGUGGGUUCAUGUCUCCAGGUGAAUAGGCAACAAUUGUUAUUCAGGUUCCUCCUUACUGCAUGGUCUGCUGGAGGGUUGCCUAUGGCCUCCAUCUUCCAAAGGUUUUAGUAUGUCCAAAAUACCUAGGACUCUAGUAUCUCACACCUCCCCAUGUGUAAUUUUUUUCUUAGAGCAUGAAAUACAAGAGCUGCUCUGAAAGUAACGCCUCCAAUUUUAUGAUGUCAGCCCACAACAGCAGAUGCUGGUGUUAUGGUAGUAGAAGUUGAACCUUCCCACUGAUAUUCCAUACAUUUUUGUUGUCAUGUGACAGAUGGCAGCAGGGGGGCAGUCUGACAGAAUGGUGUCUGACAGAAGCGUGUGUGGAGCAAAGGUGUCGUUGAAUUCCUCUGUGCAGAAAAUAGGGCACCCAUUGACAUUCAUCAACACUUGCUAAAUGGUUAUGAAGACCAAACAGUGAAUGUGAGCACAGUGUGGCAGUGGGCUCUGCAUUUUAGCAGUGGCAACAGUGGCAGUGGUUUACCUCUACUGUUGCAGGUUUUUAUGAGCAUGGCAUGCAGGCACUUAUUUAUCACUGGCAAAAAUGUACAGCUAAUGGUGGUAACUGUGCUGAGAAAUAGUAUUUCGUAGUUGAGAAUUUGCUCUAUAAAAUAGUGUUACUGUGCUUUUUGGAGUAGUUGUGCUUUCCAUGGAAAUAGCAGGAGUCACUUUUGGUGUAACCUACAUGGUUUGGCUGUAUGUAUAGGAUUUCAGUAGCUUAGAUUACUUUCAUAUAUUUAUAGUAAAAAUAACAGCUACUUAAAAACUGAUUAUCAAUCAUGGAAAUACAGUAGGUGUUUUUAAUCUUCAUAAACAUAACUACAAAUCAUUAAGUAAUACGAAGUAUUUUAUUGAAAGGCACUUCAUGAAAAAAUUGAAUACAUUUUAUCCAAUUUGAUAUGAAGUUUCACAGAAAAACAUGGUGGGCCUCAGCUCUUGUAUCUUGAUAAUGAUAUCUGCAUUGAUGUUAUUGAGACAAAAUUAGAUUCUUUCCAAACAUGUAAGAUUCUAAAGUAGGGAUUUGGAGAGCUUUAAAAAUCUGAUUUUGUUGGUAAACUAUCUGCAGAUGUUGUGAUCUGUUUGCACAUACACAUUCACAAAUACAUACAAUGCGUUCUAUAUUUUACUGAAAAUUUAGGACUACUGUCACGUAUGCCAUACACGUAUAUUUGAUGCAUGGCUGAGCAUGCACGUAAAGUACAUUUAUGUAACUAUAUGUGUUUGUACAUACGCACAUUGCCUUGUGCUAUGCAACCCAAAAGCUGUGUUGGGCUAUGCAAUGUAUGGUGUUGCAUUAAAUGUGGAGCUUGGUGCCUGUCCCAGCCUCCCUGGCUGACCCAUUCAUCGUGUGGCUCUGGCAGCCACUGGAGAUGCAGACCUGCAGCAGGAGCUUCCUUUUUCUCUUCUCUUCUUGUGACUGUGGGCUACUCUGUGUGCUCCAGAGUAGUGCUGUGCCAGAUGUGAUCACCAUGGGCUUGUGAGGCUGAUGGGAGGUAAUGGAGAGCUGCCCUCAGCAGUAGGUUUGUGCAUUUCAUCAGUGUGGGACUGAGUGGGGAACUGCUUCCCCCUGGAACAAAGGCAGCCACUGGGGAACGAUGUGCUCCUGGGACUGACUGGGCGGCCUUUGCCAUUAACCUGCUCCUCUUAGAUGGGCUCAAGAGCUGAACAGAUUUGUUGAGUAAAUGCCAUGCCUUCAAAAGGCAGCAACGAAACCACCGGAAUGAUGUCUUGGAAAAGCAAAAUAUUUUUGUUUGCUGGCAAGUGUUUAAUUCAUGUGCAGCCAUGCUUACCUCUUUGGAUGUCAAAGAAGAGGCUUCGCUAGUGCAGCGCUGCCCGCUUACCCCGAUGACAAAUGCCUCAGCGACAGAAGUCACCUUCUGCGCUCAGUCGAGCUCGACCAGAGCCGUCCCAAUGGCCGUGCUGCUGGGACUCCGGGGACGGCUGCAGAUGCAGAGCUGUGGUGCUGUAUUUCAAGUGAUGAUAAAAACUUGCCGGGUAAAUCGGUGGAGAGUGGCUUGCUGGGAGCACGUCAGCCGGUCUAUCAUUGUGCAAAGGCAGCAGAUGCAGUCAGCGCUCAGAUGAAAUGGUUCAUCACCCGCUGAUGCCUCCCGAGGGAUGGAGCCAGGGAACAAAGAGAUGCUGGGACCUCCUUGGGCGGGAGCAAUACUGUGGGAAGCAGUGGGGAAGGACAAUGGGGAGAGUAAGGAAGGAAGCAUGGACCAAGCAGAGGAGCCUAUUUUGCUCCAUGGCAGACCCACAGCUGCCCUCAGGGCUGGGGGAAGAGCCCUUGGCAAUGCCACAUUCCAGGAGCGAGCUGGCUUUUCAAGAAAAGGAAGGAUCAGGGUGGCAACCAGCAGGGACAUGGGAUACACACAGGGUUCUCACUGCUACACUGCUACACGGCUACACUGAAGCUGGCCACUGGCAAAGCAAGUGCUGGUGGAGUGCUAGAUUAUUGUAGCCCAUGUGCAACUGGCUCUGUGACCAGGGAGUGCUGUGUGAGGCACAGAUAUGCUGCAGCUCCAGGACAAGCAGGCAGAUGCUCCUCAGGGUAUGCCGCAAGGAAAGACACCGCGAGGCCAGGGCAGAACCUGGCCUGGCCCUGGGCAAGCUCUCAGUUGGCUCAGGUUGGCCAGGCCAAUGUUUCCCUGUGCUCCUCCCCUCUGGGCACCUGUGGUGCUGUGCUCGUUUGCCCCAGCCAGGUGUUGGCAUCAAGUGAAUCCAGCCCAUGCGCUGCUGCAAAGGAGCAAAGAGUUUCGGAAAGCAACUGCAAAAUGCAUAUGUAACAAACAGAGAUGCUGGUAACAAAUUCUAUUUUGUGAUGUUUUUCUGCAGCUAGAACUUGAGGAUUUAAAAAUAAUAAUAAUAAAAAUAAUAAUAAUAAUAAUAAUAAAAAAAAAAACAACAAACCACACAGAGAUGUGAAAUAAAGCAGCUUGUGUCUAAAGGAGUUAAAGUGCCUGCAUUAACACCUGCCACUCCUUGAUUCUCCACCUGCUGCUUUUCUAGUUUUCCCCUCUGCCCCUGCACAGAGCUGCAGCUGCUUGGAUGCUCCCUGAGCAGAGCAGAAGCUCUGGGCAGUGAGGGCAGCCCUCUGCCUGCAGGGCUGUGUGCUGAGCCCUGGGCAGCUUGCCGUAGCUCUUUGUAGUCAUGGUGCCCUUGCUACCCUGUGACUUGCAGUACUUGUUUUAUUAUUUACACUAACUCAUGUUCUAGACGUCCUCAGGGGAUUUCACCCAGGUAAGCACUGAGCUAGUUCACCUCCUGUGAAUCCAUAAAUGCAGACACCUCGGAUGUAGUUUUUCUGCUGCUGCAGUCUCUGUAUUAUUCACUUUUGCAAGGUCCUUUUUAAGGAAGCUAAUAAACCUGUCAGGACAAGCCCAUUGAAUCUCAUCAGGAUGCUUCUUUCACUCCCGAGGUCCCUUUCAUAACCAGCCCGCAUGCUGGCACUAUUCGUUAGGCGUACUCAGUCAGCUUUGUUCUUUAGCAUUAUUGUGUGGUGUAUGUCUUUUUUUGUAGUACCUGAAGCUUAUAAGACAACUAUCGGUUUGCCUCCCAAUGGGGGAGAAGGCAUCUGUAAUGUGUUUCAUGUCUCACAUCUCUGAAAAGGAGUGGAGAACACAAGCAUAGUAUCUUGUGGGUUUUCUGUCUUAGAGAAUUAGGAUGUCUUUGCAUUACUAGCAGGAAAAUACUGAGCAGUGCUUGAUCAGUAAGAGGCAUUGCCAGAGGUCUGCUAUAGUCUGCACCAGCCAGCGGUAAGUGUUGCUAUAGGCUAUGGAGCUAGGAAUACAAAAUGUCAAGCGACAGUAAUAAUUCAUGCAUCCUGGGAUGUAUAAAACCAACAGUAUGUCAAUAGCUGUGGCAUGCUCUGCAGAAAAUAUGCAGGGUUUAGAUGUCGCAAAAGCCUGUGUUUUCCUUUAAAUCACACUUUCCUUAGUGAAAUAUAGAAUUUUCCUAUUUGUUAAAAGCAUUUAUUUUCAGCUUCAUGUCAGUAAUUUUCUAUUAAGAUUCUAAGAGAUACACAGUUUGAAAGGGGCCUUGAGAUCCAGAGCCAAAUACAUGUAUUUAUUGAAGGAAAGCACAUAAAAGACUUCUAAAGCAGGGUGCAAUAGUAUUUGAGAUUCAUGGACCAUUUCAGCAUUCAUAAAAGCAUAUAUGGUUCUCAUGUUGGCUUUGCUAGGGACUGAACUGUGCAGCUGGGUUACCCAGGAGGUAUCCGGCGUUCCCUUAAAGGGAAGAUCAUUGCGACCAUUUGUAAUUUACUUGGAAAGUGAAAUAUCUUGUGAAAUGAGUGAGAGCUUCUCCAGUAUCCACCCUCCUAAAAUACUUCAAGAUAAUUAAUAUUGCUCAUCUCUUGUGAAAAGACCCUGAGGAGGGUAAAUGAUUGCUGUAGGGAGGCACAGCGGGCAUCAGAAUACUGUCUGCCUGAUGCUGGCCUCCUCUGUGCUGCUGCUGCCUAUGAACCAAGAAGUGACGAGUGCUGUUUUACCUGCUAAGGCUCCCACAAAAAUUCUUCAGAUGAAACUUUAAUGAGAAAAGGGAAAAAAAAAUUGUUCCAGCAGACCCAUUCUUCUCUGUGCUCUUGUGCACCUCAGCUGUGUGUUGCCAGGCCUCUAUUUCUCUAAAUCUGCCUGGAAUUAAAUAGGGGAAGCAGAGCAGUUGCUUGUUGUUCACGCUGAUAUGAAUAUGGGCCUUAACAUACAGGUAAUACUUCUGAAAGAAUGUAAAAUAUUAACUAUAAAAAAAAAAAGAGGAAAGACAUCACAAAGAAUCCUGCCAUGCAUUAUUUAAGCCUUCCCCUGUGAGGCUGAGGGCUCCGAUGCUCUUCCAGCAGCAGCAUUCCCUCUGCUGCAGGGCUGUGGGCCCCAGCUCCCACUUGGCUGUUUCGGGCCCUUUUUGGAAGCUGUUGAUUCAGACAAUAAUUAAACAUUUUAAAUAUCAUCUCUAUUCUUUGAAGACUUUAAAGUGAUUUGAUGGCAGUGGGCUGUGUCUACACAAACAGGCACUAAUAGAUAUUUCAGCACAUCUUGCUGAAGCAGAUGUUAAAUACAAACAAAAAAUUAAGCCUGCUGACUCCCUGAGAUGUAUGAAAGGGAUGUCUUUGUUGUGAGCAGAGUGACUUGGCUCGUUCUGCUUCUUCGGCUUGGUUCAGGGAGGAUGUGUUUUGCAGUCCUCCCAUGAUACCUGGCAAAUUUAAAGCUGUCACUGUUGAUCCCUCUUCUCUUUGUGUUAAGGGAAUGUCUGUGGUGUUUAUGUUAUGGGGGAAAUGCUAUUUCUACUGAUUGUAUUUUCAUUGUCUCUCUUAUGAGGGUACUGUUUGCCAGCAGCUGUGGGGCCACUUUGAUGCUUGCUCUGAUGCCAUGUUUAUUGUGCAGCACAGUUGAGCCUACAGUUUUUCUUUCUAAUCAGAGCUGGCGUACUGGGAAAAAAAAAUAAAGCUUUUCUUUAAUUACGGUUAUCUCAGAGGUCUCCAUUUGUAAUAGUGAGUGGGUGCUGGAAACCUAUGUUUGUAUAUACCUGUGUAUGUUCUGAUUUCAUUUUAAUUCUGGUAAUGUUUUGCCUUUCUCUGCUUCUCUCUCUGACCAUGCUUGAGCAGGGUCAUGGAUCUGUUGGUG